GACGAACGCUGGCGGCGUGCUUAAUACAUGCAAGUCGAACGGAAAGGCCCUGCUUUUGUGGGGUGCUCGAGUGGCGAACGGGUGAGUAACACGUGAGUAACCUGCCCUUGACUUUGGGAUAACUUCAGGAAACUGGGGCUAAUACCGGAUAGGAGCUCCUGCUGCAUGGUGGGGGUUGGAAAGUUUCGGCGGUUGGGGAUGGACUCGCGGCUUAUCAGCUUGUUGGUGGGGUAGUGGCUUACCAAGGCUUUGACGGGUAGCCGGCCUGAGAGGGUGACCGGCCACAUUGGGACUGAGAUACGGCCCAGACUCCUACGGGAGGCAGCAGUGGGGAAUAUUGCACAAUGGGCGGAAGCCUGAUGCAGCAACGCCGCGUGCGGGAUGACGGCCUUCGGGUUGUAAACCGCUUUCGCCUGUGACAAAGCGUGAGUGACGGUAAUGGGUAAAGAAGCACCGGCUAACUACGUG
RNAcentral lists this ribosomal RNA (468 nucleotides) under uncultured bacterium. RNAcentral describes it as "partial 16S ribosomal RNA". It matches the Rfam family "Bacterial small subunit ribosomal RNA", at positions 28 to 507 of the family's 1533-position model. The record is from RNAcentral.